Molecule: ribosomal RNA, 301 nt
Filed under: uncultured bacterium
Lineage: Bacteria
Description: partial 16S ribosomal RNA
Rfam family: Bacterial small subunit ribosomal RNA
Source: RNAcentral
CAGUAGCCGCGGUAAUACGGAGGAUCCAAGCGUUAUCCGGAAUCAUUGGGUUUAAAGGGUCCGUAGGCGGUCUUGUAAGUCAGUGGUGAAAGCCCAUCGCUCAACGGUGGAACGGCCAUUGAUACUGCAGGACUUGAAUUAUUGGGAAGUAACUAGAAUAUGUAGUGUAGCGGUGAAAUGCUUAGAGAUUACAUGGAAUACCAAUUGCGAAGGCAGGUUACUACCAAUUGAUUGACGCUGAUGGACGAAAGCGUGGGUAGCGAACAGGAUUAGAGACCCCUGUAGUCCCUGUCUCUUAUAU